Molecule: long non-coding RNA, 422 nt
Filed under: Pan troglodytes (chimpanzee)
Lineage: Eukaryota; Metazoa; Chordata; Mammalia; Primates; Hominidae
Description: long non-coding RNA NONPTRT007017
Source: RNAcentral
UAUAUCUAGGCUGGGCGCGGUGGCUCACGCCUGUAAUCCCAGCACUUUAGGAGGCCAAGGCCGGCGGAUCGCGAAGUCAGGAGAUCAAGACCAUCCUGGCUAACACAGUGAAACCCCGUCUCUACUAAAAAAAUACAAAAAAAUUAGCAUGGCAUGGUGGCGACUUAGCUCGCCGCUGGCUUGGUCCCGACAUCAGCCACGAUUCAGGAGUCCUCCUCCUCUGCCCACGUGAUCUUAGUGGCCCUGAUCCUUCCUCGCAUGUCAUCUCACGGCUGUGGUUCACCGGCUGCUUUAUCUCAAGCCUCAGCCAAUAUAAACUCAAACUACAAGUUGAUGAUGUUUCUGCCCUGCAGUUCUUUCCAGCCAAGAACACAGUGCCCCCAGGGUCCUCGAGUUGUCAUGAAAUAAAUAAUUGUGCCGGU